AGGUAUGGAAGGAAGUUUGCCCAUUUUACUGAAGAAGGACAGGCAACCCUUCGAGACAAUCCGGUAUUCAGGAUCACACGAAAAAGAAAACAUGAAAGCAGCACCAUGGACACAGACCCCGCCACCGACCACAUGUAUAGCAAGAGGCCUUACAGCUUUCCACCCAGAGAGCAGGUUAAUGACAAUAAUGACAGCAUGCAC
This is a long non-coding RNA of Larimichthys crocea (large yellow croaker), 201 nucleotides long. RefSeq lists it as uncharacterized. Lineage: Eukaryota; Metazoa; Chordata; Actinopteri; Sciaenidae. The record is from RefSeq and is a predicted model, not a curated record. The transcript has 3 exons.